UGGAUUAUGUGGAUUAAUUCGAUGCAACGCGAAAACCUUACUACCCUUGACAUGUACGGAACCUCGCAGAGAUGUGAGGGUGCCCGAAAGGGAGCCGUAACACAGGUGCUGCAUGGCUGUCGUCAGCUCGUGUCGUGAGAUGUUGGGUUAAGUCCCGCAACGAGCGCAACCCUUGCCAUUAGUUGCUACAUUCAGUUGGGCACUCUAAUGGGACUGCCGGUGACAAACCGGAGGAAGGUGGGGAUGACGUCAAGUCCUCAUGGCCCUUAUGGGUAGGGCUUCACACGUAAUACAAUGGCAGGUACAGAGGGACGCCAACCCGCGAGGGGGAGCCAAUCCCAGAAAGCCUGUCGUAGUCCGGAUUGUAGUCUGCAACUCGACUACAUGAAGCUGGAAUCGCUAGUAAUCGCGGAUCAGCAUGUCGCGGUGAAUACGUUCCCGGGUCUU
RNAcentral lists this ribosomal RNA (447 nucleotides) under uncultured beta proteobacterium. RNAcentral's name for it is "bacterial SSU rRNA". It matches the Rfam family "Bacterial small subunit ribosomal RNA", at positions 933 to 1382 of the family's 1533-position model. The record is from RNAcentral. Lineage: Bacteria; Pseudomonadati; Pseudomonadota; Betaproteobacteria.